CUGUGCCUAAUACAUGCAAGUCGAACGCGUUGGCCCAAUUGAUUGAUGGUGCUUGCACCUGAUUGAUUUUGGUCGCCAACGAGUGGCGGACGGGUGAGUAACACGUAGGUAACCUGCCCAGAAGCGGGGGACAACAUUUGGAAACAGAUGCUAAUACCGCAUAACAACGUUGUUCGCAUGAACAACGCUUAAAAGAUGGCUUCUCGCUAUCACUUCUGGAUGGACCUGCGGUGCAUUAGCUUGUUGGUGGGGUAAUGGCCUACCAAGGCGAUGAUGCAUAGCCGAGUUGAGAGACUGAUCGGCCACAAUGGGACUGAGACACGGCCCAUACUCCUACGGGAGGCAGCAGUAGGGAAUCUUCCACAAUGGGCGCAAGCCUGAUGGAGCAACACCGCGUGAGUGAAGAAGGGUUUCGGCUCGUAAAGCUCUGUUGUUAAAGAAGAACACGUAUGAGAGUAACUGUUCAUACGUUGACGGUAUUUAACCAGAAAGUCACGGCUAACUACGUGCCAGCAGCCGCGGUAAUACGUAGGUGGCAAGCGUUAUCCGGAUUUAUUGGGCGUAAAGAGAGUGCAGGCGGUUUUCUAAGUCUGAUGUGAAAGCCUUCGGCUUAACCGGAGAAGUGCAUCGGAAACUGGAUAACUUGAGUGCAGAAGAGGGUAGUGGAACUCCAUGUGUAGCGGUGGAAUGCGUAGAUAUAUGGAAGAACACCAGUGGCGAAGGCGGCUACCUGGUCUGCAACUGACGCUGAGACUCGAAAGCAUGGGUAGCGAACAGGAUUAGAUACCCUGGUAGUCCAUGCCGUAAACGAUGAGUGCUAGGUGUUGGAGGGUUUCCGCCCUUCAGUGCCGGAGCUAACGCAUUAAGCACUCCGCCUGGGGAGUACGACCGCAAGGUUGAAACUCAAAGGAAUUGACGGGGGCCCGCACAAGCGGUGGAGCAUGUGGUUUAAUUCGAAGCUACGCGAAGAACCUUACCAGGUCUUGACAUCUUGCGCCAACCCUAGAAAUAGGGCGUUUCCUUCGGGAACGCAAUGACAGGUGGUGCAUGGUCGUCGUCAGCUCGUGUCCUGAGAUGUUGGGUUAAGUCCCGCAACGAGCGCCACCCUUGUUACUAUUGCCAGCAUUAAUUGGGCACUCUAGGGGAACUGCCGUGACAACCGGAGGAAGGUGGGACAACUCGAACUCCUGCCCCUUAGACCGGGCUAACACUUGCAAAAGAAGGUAAACGAGUCCGAACCCCGAAGGAAGAAACUUUUAAAA
Molecule: ribosomal RNA, 1262 nt
Filed under: Limosilactobacillus fermentum
Lineage: Bacteria; Bacillati; Bacillota; Bacilli; Lactobacillales; Lactobacillaceae
Description: bacterial SSU rRNA
Rfam family: Bacterial small subunit ribosomal RNA
Source: RNAcentral